UAAGCUUGCAAAAAGAGAAAAGUGCUGAGCAUUUAAUCUUGUUCUCUCUGGAAUCAUUGUAGAAAUUCUGGAGUUUAGCUGGAGUAAAAACACUCUGUGAGAAGGCCCAUCUACUCUUUCAAACUGUCAUCAAUGCUGCCUGUUUCACUGCACUGGAGGAAUAUGGAAACUUGGGGUUUCAUGUGGAAGCAAACUUUUGUAUUUUGGAACCCUAUCUGGUAUGAGCAAAAUAUGGGAAACGUGUAGCAGUCUUAAAAGAAUUCAGUUACAGUAAGAAAAGAUGCCUGGAAAGGAGAGAGAAAUGCCACAAAUGCAGCUCUGAAAGGCUGCCCCUUGGGACCACCCUAAGAAAAAGAAAAUUCGAAGUUCCCCAGCACAGGAAAAGCUUCAAUCAACCAUAAGGGAAAAAGAGAAAAUACGAAGUUCACCGAAUAGGAAAAGCUUCAAUCAGCCAUGAGGCAAAAUCCAUAGGAAACCAGACUUCAUUAGCUCCACAACUCACAGAACUUGUUACGAUUCAGCUUGCUUAGCAACUUCAACUUUUAGACAACUCUUUUUCUUUGAUAUGUCACCUCAAGCUUAACAGGCUAUUAGAUCUCCCGCUUUUUAUCUGUGUAAGGCUACAGUGGAAAAAAACCCACAAAACAAACCACAAAGAAAUGCUCCCAGGAUGAUUCUCUUUCUGUGUGUAUGUGCAUAUAUGUGCCACGAGAGGAGGAGGGGGGAAGGAAAGGAAAACAGAAGAACGGAAAUUCCCCAUUUUCGCAACUCUGCGGGCUCCUCCGACAUUUGUGGGUGCUUAACGCCAUCGAAAACGAGGGCACUUGGGGAUAAUGAGGUAAUUCUGGAGUCAGGCAGGGAACAGCGGAUCUGUCAUGGAGCUUAAUGUGGGAGGAAAACAAAGAAGAUUUACACAGCGGGUUUAUCGCUCUAGCAGCAGCAGUGGAGUCUCUGAAUCUGAGGCUGUGCCUUUUGUGCAUCUCUGUCCAAGAUACCUCUGAGCUGCUUGGGAAAGCAAGUUUGUCUAUGCAGAGCUUUGAGCAACGAGCCCAUUUCCAGGUGCCAAAUAGCAGCAUCCCUGCCUGUUACUGCAGCUGCUAUGUGUAAGUGCCCUUCAGAGCACAAGUAAAAAUCCUUGUUUUGUUCUUUGUUGGUAUUGAAUUUCUAGGCUACAGGCACACACAGAAAGGAUUGGCCCUAGAAAAAAAUAUAAGUGGUUAAGCAUUUGUCUGAAUGUUAAUCAGAAUGAUUCUCAUGACCAUAUGUCCCCAAGGACCCAGGGCUCCACCAAUUAGUACUCAUCAUUCAUACACUGUACUUGGGCUGGAUGUCAGGAAAGAAGCAAUAACCUCAGCCAAGACCAAACCAAGAUACUAUCUAUACUGUGUCUCAUGAGUAAAAAAGGAAUGGGAAUUUGAAUUGAUGUUGUGCCACAUGAGGGCACCCUGCAGGUGGUGAAGCUCUGCAGGGUGGCAAGAGUUGAAGCAGGCAAUCUUAUAGGGUGAAGGUUUCUGCAGGCUGCCCCAGCUGGGUGCAUGUGGGCUUUGGGGAGUCAGGUGGUGACAUUUCUGUCCAUCCAUGUAUGGCUUUUAACGUGGGUAACCAGUUAUUAAUUUCUCCUCGUUGAGGUGAGUAUGGCCUCGGUCGUAGCAGCAGAGGGAGGUCUGCAGUUACGCUUCUGAGCAGUAUCAGACAUCACAGCACUCUGCCACCAUGCAGUCUGAGCCAUGAAUAAGGCAAGGUUAAUCUGAAGGACUGCUGAGCACAAACUUACUGCCUUCAAAGAAACCAGACAAUGACAGCCACAAAAGCAGAAAAACUCAAAGCCACACAUCCUUUAGCAUUUCCUGCUCUGUAUUUGAUGAAGGAGGGAGGCAGAGUUCAUACAACGCAUGACUUCCUACCCUGCAGAUCCUGAGAUCUAAGUGGCAGCAAUCCUCUCUAGGUACACAGUUUGCUUUCACAUUUCACAUUUUCACAUUUACACAAAGAGAAAUGCCUUAUAUUCAGCCUGUUUGCUAUGCAAUCCACUAGCUACACGUUUGUAAUGUCAUUGAAAAGUGCACAUAAUCCAAAUAGAAAAUGUAACUUUUUAAAUAUAUAGAACUGAUUUUUAUUUGACUCUUCAUUAAUCA
Molecule: non-coding RNA, 2135 nt
Organism: Coturnix japonica (Japanese quail)
Lineage: Eukaryota; Metazoa; Chordata; Aves; Galliformes; Phasianidae
Source: RefSeq, a predicted model, not a curated record